AAUCUCGAUGUUUUCUAUGGUUGUACUUGUGCUUAACCUACUCACUCGCUUAGCAAGCUCAUCUUCAACAUCAUGCAUAUCAUCCUUGCCAUUUACUACCAUGACAGGCACUUCCAUGGACAGGGACAUUUUGCGGUGACUGAGUUUGAGACUGAAUUUGUGAAACAGAUGAAGCGUCAUCUGAGAGUAAUUCCUGCUCAGCAUCU
RNAcentral lists this long non-coding RNA (206 nucleotides) under Homo sapiens (human). Its description in RNAcentral is "HSALNT0168012". The record is from RNAcentral. Lineage: Eukaryota; Metazoa; Chordata; Mammalia; Primates; Hominidae.